CCUACGGGUGGCAGCAGUGAGGAAUAUUGGUCAAUGGGCGAGAGCCUGAACCAGCCAAGUCGCGUGAAGGAUGAAGGAUCUAUGGUUUGUAAACUUCUUUUAUAUGGGAAUAAAGUGAGGAACGUGUUCCUUUUUGUAUGUACCAUAUGAAUAAGCAUCGGCUAACUCCGUGCCAGCAGCCGCGGUAAUCCGGAGGAUGCGAGCGUUAUCCGGAUUUAUUGGGUUUAAAGGGUGCGUGGGUGGUUAAUGAAGUCAGCGGUAAAAUGUCCGGGCUCAACCCGGGCCGGCCGUUGAAACUGGGGAUCUUGAGUGGGCGAGAAGUAUGCGGAAUGCGUGGUGUAGCAGUGAAAUGCAUAGAUAUCACGAAGAACUCCGAUGGCGAAGGCAGCAUACCGGCGCCCGACUGACGCUGAGGCACGAAGGCGUGGGGAUCGAACAGGAUUAGAUACCCUGGUAGUC
Molecule: ribosomal RNA, 459 nt
Filed under: uncultured bacterium
Lineage: Bacteria
Description: partial 16S ribosomal RNA
Rfam family: Bacterial small subunit ribosomal RNA
Source: RNAcentral